GAUGAACGCUGGCGGCGUGCCUAAUACAUGCAAGUCGAGCGAACGGACGAGAAGCUUGCUUCUCUGAUGUUAGCGGCGGACGGGUGAGUAACACGUGGAUAACCUACCUAUAAGACUGGGAUAACUUCGGGAAACCGGAGCUCAUACCGGAUGAUAUUUUGAACCGCAUGGUUCAAAAGUGAAAGACGGUCUUGCUGUCACUUAUAGAUGGAUCCGAGCUGCAUUAGCUAGUUGGUAAGGUAACGGCUUACCAAGGCAACGAUGCAGAGCCGACCUGAGAGGGUGAUCGGCCACACUGGAACUGAGACACGGUCCAGACUCCUACGGGAGGCAGCAGUAGGGAAUCUUCCGCAAUGGGCGAAAGCCUGACGGAGCAACGCCGCGUGAGUGAUGAAGGUCUUCGGAUCGUAAAACUCUGUUAUUAGGGAAGAACAUAUGUGUAAGUAACUGUGCACAUCUUGACGGUACCUAAUCAGAAAGCCACGGCUAACUACGUG
This 497-nucleotide ribosomal RNA is filed under the name uncultured bacterium. RNAcentral describes it as "partial 16S ribosomal RNA". It matches the Rfam family "Bacterial small subunit ribosomal RNA", at positions 28 to 507 of the family's 1533-position model. The record is from RNAcentral.